RNAcentral lists this long non-coding RNA (1592 nucleotides) under Elaeis guineensis (African oil palm). RNAcentral describes it as "long non-coding RNA (EGUI_LNC001161)". Lineage: Eukaryota; Viridiplantae; Streptophyta; Magnoliopsida; Arecales; Arecaceae. The record is from RNAcentral.
GUUAUAAGCUAGUUCUUAGAUGGUUUGUGGGGCUUACCUGUUUCCCAAAAGGGUCAAACUCUUUUGCCGGAGGUUGGUGCUGUCCAAACUUCCUUAUAAAUUGGUUUUAAUAUAGGGUAUUCUUCUGCAAGCAGGCCACUAUUAUGAUAUGUGUUUAGAUUAGGUGGAAGACUGAGCACGUGGCCGUUACUUGUUCCUUUGCUUGGCGCUGUUGGCAACAUUUAGUUAAUGCGUGUACCUUGGGUUUUUUUCUACCUCUUUGCCAGCUCUUGUUAAUUUUCUUUCUAGAGCCUUGGUAGAGAGGUGGAAGAGAGCAUUAGUUGUUCAUUUUAGUUGGUUGCCUUGAUACGCUAGGAAUGGGAGGUUGUUUCAGUCUAUUCACUCUUCACUGGAAGUCCUGGUAAUGAAGGCCUUUGUAAUUGUAAUAGACGUUCCUGGACCAGCAAAAUUUUGCGUUUCAUACACCCACCCCUUAAAACUUAAUUUUGAUGGUUCGGUUCAACCUUAUGCUGCAAGUUUUGCUUUUAUCAUUAUGAUUUUCAGGGGAAUUUAGUUGCAGUUGGGGAUCAUAAGCGUUUGGGAGGCUGUUCAGUGGCCUUUGCUGAGCUUGUUGCUGUGUGGCUUCGUGUACAGGUUACUGUACAACGGUUGGGCGCUCAUAGUUUUGGACAGAGGGCAAUUCCAAAACAGUAAUCGGAUGGAUUAUCAAUCUUUAUUCUUCUCAAUAUGCAUCACUUUUGCUGCUGCAGGAUAUAAUUCAUUGGAAGUGGUCUCCAUUUUUUUUCUUUUUUGUAGGUCAGAUUGUCAUACAGAUCUGAUAUGAAUACAUCCAAAAAAAUCAGAAAAUAAGAUAUCCUUGAAAGCCAAAGGAAGGUCUUCGACCUUUAUCUACACAGUUUCUCUAAUAUGAUCAGCCACAUAGGAUGCCAUCCAGUCAGUAGAAGUGUUGCCCUUAUAGUAAAUAUAGUGAAUCUCGAUAAAAAAGCAGCUUCUCACCAAACACUGGCUAUCAUGAAAGGUGCACUACUACUAAUGAUGGUUGCCCAGAUAACCAGACUAUCACGGUGGUUGAGUCUCCCUCAAUCACAAGUCUCUCAACUCCAAGCCUCAAUCUGACAAAGGUAAUGUCCACCCACACUGCCUGCAGCUCUGCCAUCGGAACCAUGGUGCUGAUGAGGUGACAGCCACCGGCAGCCAUUGGAAGUGGUCUCUUUGGGUGGCCAAAUUCACUCAUAUUUGCAGAGAAGGGAAACAGGCUGCAGAUUGGAUAUCUGUUCAGGCCCAUCAGGGUGAUUUUAGUUUUUCGGGCUCGGAUAGCAUGCAUCCUGAUUUAGCUUAUAUCCUGGCUGCAGAUCGGCUUGGCUUGAAUGUUGUAUAUAUACAGGCCCAAGCCUGUUUCUUUCUUCUUCGUUUUUUCCCUUCUCUCACCUAGAUCUUUGCAUCCUCCUUUGUUUUACCAAUAAAACAACUUUUGCAUCGAAAUGAGUUGCUUAGGCCAACCAUGAAGGAGCAAGCUCAUUGUUGGUUUGUGCAUCUCUUCACCAUAGAUGCAGGAAGCAGCCAAUAUACAAGCCCCCAUUCAAUGGUAAUUA